Molecule: long non-coding RNA, 349 nt
Organism: Trichechus manatus latirostris (Florida manatee)
Lineage: Eukaryota; Metazoa; Chordata; Mammalia; Sirenia; Trichechidae
Exons: 3
Source: RefSeq, a predicted model, not a curated record
CAGGUAGCGUUUCUGACUCUUAAAGAUAUCUUGAAUGUACUUUCAGAGAAAUGCCUGCAAAAGCUGUAGGGAGGAACAAGUCUGGAAGAAAAAUAUGCAACGGACAAGCACCAAGAGGGGUUCAUCUGCGUUGUGGCAUGCAUCAGAACUUAAUUUCUCUUUAUGGGAAAGACUGAAAAAGGAAACAUCUUUCCCUAAGAUAUCCAACUAGAAGGAUUUGUCUGGCUAAAAGGAAAACUUUAUUGUAGAAUGCAGUAUUGCCAUAUGGGAGAACUUUUUUAAAAUUAUGGAUAAUACAUAAAGAAAAAAAAAUCCUCACAACUGGACCAGUAAGCAACAUCAUGAUAAA